Long non-coding RNA from Quercus lobata, 697 nucleotides. RefSeq lists it as uncharacterized. Lineage: Eukaryota; Viridiplantae; Streptophyta; Magnoliopsida; Fagales; Fagaceae. The transcript has 5 exons. The record is from RefSeq and is a predicted model, not a curated record.
AAAUAUCUAAGUCUGAACCCGAUUCUUGUGUUUCUGAAAAAAAAAAACCCUACGUUCUCUUCUCUUCAGUCUCCGCCUCCCUCAGCUCUUUGCCUCCCUCCCUCCCUCACUUCUCUCUUUAUUCCUCAAAGGUUUAAACCUCAUCCUUACAAGCCAGUUUCAAGCUAUUUGCUCCAUUUGUCUCUGUGUUUUUAACUAAAGAGCUCUUCUGCCUCUCUCUGGGGUUUCACUAUUUUGCUUUUCGCCAAGGCAAUGUCAACCUCUUGACUACUGGUUUAAUUGUUCUCCGUCUUUCUUACUUGGUAUUAGGCAGUAGUAGCUGAUGAUAUAUGCAUUAGCUAUGACAAAAAGGUGGUCGAGCUUUGAUAUGUAUCCAACAUUUGACUAGAAUUAUCCAAGGUUUCUGUGUAAAGGUGUGGAAAUUACCCAGAAGUAUUCCUUAUGUUAGAAUCCUCUAUAGGAUCAGGUUGGGAUCGCAAUCCCACAACCCAAGUCACUGUUCAACCUCAACUCUAACACCCUCACUGAUCAUCACAGUCAGAUCAAGACUUUCUGCAUAGCACAUAGGACUAAUGCCCCACUUUCCACAUAAAAUCCUGUUAAGAACUGAAUCAAUAGCCUUGCAUUUGCUUGCAAAAGCCUAACACCACAACCACCAGCAACCCCAUGUGUAUGAAGCCAAGUUUAAUGUUGGAGC